ACCCGGAGUUCGCUGGGAGAAAAACUUGGUGGGGAGACGCCCUUCCCCCCCUACGCGGGACGGGAAGGAUGCAACCUGCUGGAGGAACGCGUGUAAUGCGGUGGUAAUCGCGCUGCACCACCCUAGCACUUAAUAAUUGCCUGUUAAAUGGAUGAGUGAAUUAAUUUCUAUAGUGUUACAAUACUUUCACACCCAUCGUCUGACUCCUUCCGACAGCACAGCGAGGCAGGUACGGAUCAUUCCCAUUUUGCAGAUUACUGGUGUUUCCUCAAGUGACCACUUGUGUCAUAAAAACUUGGAAAAUGGACUGACAUGCAGAUCCGUGGGCCACUCUCCAGCCCCACUGAAUCAGACACUUUGAGGUGGAUUUCAGAUAAAUCUUCACAGCUAUUUACAAAGUGACAACCUCUCUCUAAAAAUCCUUGCUUGGAGGUCACCUUGUAGUGCUGAGGAUUUUCACAGAUAAGAUAGCUCUUCAGAGAGCCUGGAUCUUGGAAGAGGCAUUUUCUCACUGUCUCAUCUGGCAAAUGAUAUCCCAUAUAUCAGUGAUACCUUUAUCUCCCAGGGGCGAGUCCUCUGGCUGUCCAGCUACUCAGAUGCACCCAGGAGCAUGCCAAUCAUAUUAUCAUUAUUGGACAAUUAUUAAUUGUUGGACAAUUAUUCAUCAGACUGUGAAAAUUGGAGUUAGCUAGACCUGCAUAUCACCUAGAGUGAAAGCCAGAAUCCUUACCGGAUGCCCUCCUCCUCCUGAGCUCUUCCUUUCCCCUUUCUCACUGUAUCCCAGGCACUUGCCUUCCUUGGUCUCCAUACUCCCACCUCAGGGCCUUUGCACAUGCUCUUUCCUCUGUAAAGAUGGUGGCAGCUGACCAAGGACAGGAAGUGAGGCUUCUGUGCAGCGUACAGGCAGUCAGGGAUGUGUCUGCAGAGAAUUUAAAAACAAUAACACUGACUAAAAAUUGGUUUGCAUUUUUUUUAUCAUCACCAAGUGCUGGUAAUUCUAAGUAGUGUCACUGAUGAAACACU
Molecule: long non-coding RNA, 1023 nt
Filed under: Homo sapiens (human)
Lineage: Eukaryota; Metazoa; Chordata; Mammalia; Primates; Hominidae
Description: HSALNT0331267
Source: RNAcentral